This 595-nucleotide long non-coding RNA is filed under the name Anser brachyrhynchus (Pink-footed goose). RNAcentral describes it as "lncRNA (ENSABRG00000008330.1)". The record is from RNAcentral. Lineage: Eukaryota; Metazoa; Chordata; Aves; Anseriformes; Anatidae.
UGCUAACAAUGAGGCAAAAUAGAGGGGGACCAAAGUAAAAUUUCUUUUUGCUUCAUUUGCAGGAAAAUAAGCUAUGGAGGAGAGGUUGAGUGAUUUGCCUGAGGUCACCUAGCCCAGAGCUGGGAAGGCAGAGUUCACACACUGGGUAGAUUGCACUGUCACAGUUUGUAGCUAAAUAUUCAAUGUAAUGAGGAUUUAAGGUAACAAGGAGAAGUCUUAGAAUUGCCUUCUCUGUUGCACCAUGUGGAGUUAGGUGUUUAGCCUUCUCCCUAGUGAUGGCAAGAAGCAGCUGUCAGCUACUACCUAAUGAUGUUACUGCAUAUGCACCUCACCUCCGGUAGCUUAAAGAAGCUUUGAACUUGAGGACACCUUCCUCCUGAGUUAGUACGUUAACACUUUUACCUGCUUGUGUAAAGGCCCUGUGGCUCUCCAGCAUCCCACAGAACAAGUACAUUCGCACGGGAAUGCUGGCACCAUGUUGCUUGAGUAUUUAAACAUCGGAAAGUUAUGGAUGAAUCAGUUCCUAGGUCUGUCUGCUCACUGCAAGGACACUUCCUUCUGUUCCUUCACACCUUCAGUGCACCUUGCUUGGUGA